RNAcentral lists this transfer RNA (67 nucleotides) under Marmota monax (woodchuck). Its description in RNAcentral is "tRNA.Tyr". The record is from RNAcentral. Lineage: Eukaryota; Metazoa; Chordata; Mammalia; Rodentia; Sciuridae.
GGUUAUAGCUCAGUGGUAGAGCACUUGCAUACCAUGUGCUAGGCCCUGGGUUCAAUCCCUAGUACCA